AACGAACGCUGGCGGCAUGCCUAACACAUGCAAGUCGAACGAGACCUUCGGGUCUAGUGGCGCACGGGUGCGUAACGCGUGAGAACCUGCCCUUAGGUUCGGAAUAACUCCCCGAAAGGGGUGCUAAUACCGGAUAAUGUCUUCGGACCAAAGAUUUAUCGCCUUUGGAUGGGCCCGCGUUGGAUUAGCUGGUUGGUAGGGUAAAAGCCUACCAAGGCGACGAUCCAUAGCUGGUCUGAGAGGAUGAUCAGCCACACUGGGACUGAGACACGGCCCAGACUCCUACGGGAGGCAGCAGUGGGGAAUAUUGGACAAUGGGCGAAAGCCUGAUCCAGCAAUGCCGCGUGAGUGAUGAAGGCCUUAGGGUUGUAAAGCUCUUUUACCCGGGAUGAUAAUGACAGUACCGGGAGAAUAAGCUCCGGCUAACUCCGUG
RNAcentral lists this ribosomal RNA (433 nucleotides) under uncultured bacterium. RNAcentral's name for it is "partial 16S ribosomal RNA". It matches the Rfam family "Bacterial small subunit ribosomal RNA", at positions 29 to 507 of the family's 1533-position model. The record is from RNAcentral.